GACUUUGGACUCACGUAGGCAUAGGAGAACGAAACUUCUGUACAUUUUAAUCUGAAUAAUUCUUCAGGAUUUAAAAUUAAUUGGCUCUGGCUUGGUUGGACCGUACUCGGAUCUCGCCACCUCUGCGUUUCCCGAGUCACUGGCGAAGAGGUCCCAGUUCCUCUGGGAAUCGUCCUGUAUGCAACAUCUUCACAAGAGUGGCAGGCAGUUGAAUCUCUGGCCUUCGUGGGACCACUGGACAUCUGGCAGAGAACCAGGAAACCACGGUUCCCUUCUGUGAGUCCCUCAGCCGGAAAACUACAAGAAUGAAAAAAAUGCAUGGCAUACAUCACCAAGAAUCAAAGGUUGUGCCUGGCAGUGUAAUUGACUAUGUAAUAAAGAGAGAAGCUUUGCUAGCUCCUCAUGCAGCUGCUGUCUACAGACCCCCUGGACUGCCUGGGGAAGUGAGUCGGAGCUCCUGCAGCAGAGGGGUGGAACAGCUACACGAAGAUCCGAAGGUGGCCAAAAAUAACAGCGCUUUCCAGAUGAGGGAGCCAGUUGUCCAGCACAGUGUCAUGGGACAGUGGGCCCUGGUGCCACAAUGCCCGGCAUCUCCACCAGAUACAGCUUUGAGAUCUUCAUGAUGAAGCUUGCUCCAAUCCAAGGGCUGUCAGGUGGGGUUUGCGGUUCAGCUGCUAACCUUUCUUUGAUCCAAAUCCUGUCUUCACUGGCUUCAAGAAUCCUGUCUUCACUGGCUUCAAAACUGGGAUGAAGGAGGCUCCUUAGUGGAGAGCAAAGCAAAGAGAAACUCAAAUUGGAUCCAUAUUAAAGAAGAGAAGGAUGGAUUUGUUUAGACAACACAAACCUAGGAAGGGUUUGAGAGGUGAAACAAACUGGGUUAUGGAUGAACGGGGGCAAUUGGAAUGUAGAAUUGAAGCAGUAAUUAACAUCUUGGUAAGUUACCCACCAUAAAACGCUUUAGAGCAA
Homo sapiens (human) is the source of this 966-nucleotide long non-coding RNA. Ensembl annotates it as NR2F2 antisense RNA 1. Its record names the gene NR2F2-AS1. Lineage: Eukaryota; Metazoa; Chordata; Mammalia; Primates; Hominidae. The record is from Ensembl.